AUCUUGGGAAAUUUCAUCGUGAUGGGGAUAGAUCAUUGCAAUUGUUGGUCUUCAACGAGGAAUGCCUAGUAAGCGCGAGUCAUCAGCUCGCGUUGACUACGUCCCUGCCCUUUGUACACACCGCCCGUCGCUCCUACCGAUUGAAUGGUCCGGUGAAGUGUUCGGAUCGCGGCGACGGGGGCGGUUCUCCGCCCCCGACCUCGCGAGAAGUCCAUUGAACCUUAUCAUUUAGAGGAAGGAGAAGUCGUAACAAGGUUUCCGUAGGUGAACCUGCGGAAGGAUCAUUG
This 287-nucleotide ribosomal RNA is filed under the name Calamagrostis varia. RNAcentral describes it as "partial 18S ribosomal RNA". It matches the Rfam family "Eukaryotic small subunit ribosomal RNA", at positions 1549 to 1831 of the family's 1831-position model. Lineage: Eukaryota; Viridiplantae; Streptophyta; Magnoliopsida; Poales; Poaceae. The record is from RNAcentral.